GACGAACGCUGGCGGCGUGCUUAACACAUGCAAGUCGAACGGAAAGGCCCUGCUUUUGUGGGGUGCUCGAGUGGCGAACGGGUGAGUAACACGUGAGUAACCUGCCCUUGACUUUGGGAUAACUUCAGGAAACUGGGGCGAAUACCGGAUAGGAGCUCCUGCUGCAUAGUGGGGGUUGGAAAGUUUCGGCGGUUGGGGAUGGACUCGCGGCUUAUCAGCUUGUUGGUGGGGUAGUGGCUUACCAAGGCUUUGACGGGUAGCCGGCCUGAGAGGGUGACCGGCCACAUUGGGCCUGAGAUACGGCCCAGACUGCUACGGGAGGCAGCAGUGGGGAAUAUUGCACAAUGGGCGGAAGCCUGAUGCAGCAACGCCGCGUCCGGGAUGACGGCCUUUGGGUUGUAAACCGCUUUCGCCUGUGACGAAGCGUGAGUGACGGUAAUGGGUCAAGAAGCACCGGCUAACUACGUG
RNAcentral lists this ribosomal RNA (468 nucleotides) under uncultured bacterium. RNAcentral describes it as "partial 16S ribosomal RNA". It matches the Rfam family "Bacterial small subunit ribosomal RNA", at positions 28 to 507 of the family's 1533-position model. The record is from RNAcentral.